GCAGGCUGGCGGCGGACGAGCGUCUCGCCAACCCGGUCAGGUCCGAAAGGAAGCAGCCGUAACGAGCUUCGGUCGGGUCGUCGCCAGUCUGCGCC
Molecule: signal recognition particle RNA, 95 nt
Filed under: Alphaproteobacteria bacterium
Lineage: Bacteria; Pseudomonadati; Pseudomonadota; Alphaproteobacteria
Description: signal recognition particle sRNA small type
Rfam family: Bacterial small signal recognition particle RNA
About the family: The signal recognition particle (SRP) is a universally conserved ribonucleoprotein involved in the co-translational targeting of proteins to membranes. Archaeal SRP consists of a 7S RNA and homologues of the eukaryotic SRP19 and SRP54 proteins.
Source: RNAcentral